GGUGAGCUAUCCAUGGCCAGGGUGAAGCGUGGGUAAAGCCACGUGGAGGCCCGAACCCGUUGCUGUGAAAAAGCAUGGGAUGAGCUGUGGAUAGGGGUGAAAAGCCAAUCGAACCCGGAGAUAGCUGGUUCUCCCCGAAAUAGCUUUAGGGCUAGCCUCGGAGUAAGGGCGGUGGAGGUAGAGCACUGAUUGGGCUAGGGGUCCUACAAGAUUACUGAACCCAUUCAAACUCCGAAUGCCACCGUUACCAUCUCCGGGAGUCAGACUGCGGGUGCUAAGAUUCGUAGUCGAGAGGGAAAGAGCCCAGACCGCCGUCUAAGGUCCCUAAGUACAGGCUAAGUGGUAAAGGAAGUGGGAUUCCCAAAACAGCCAGGAUGUUGGCUUAGAAGCAGCCAUCAUUUAAAGAGUGCGUAAUAGCUCACUGGCCGAGGGAUUCUGCACCGAAAAUACACGGGGCUUAAGCCUGUCACCGAAGGCGCGGAAUUGGCCGAUGGCCAAUUGGUAGGGGAGCGUUCUGCACCUGCAGAAGUCAGACCGAAAGGACUGGUGGAGGGUGCGGAAGUGAGAAUGCCGGUAUGAGUAGCGAAAAGACAGGUGAGAAUCCUGUCCGCCGAAAGCCUAAGGUUUCCUGGGCAAGGCUCGUCCGCUCAGGGUUAGUCGGGACCUAAGCCGAGGCCGAAAGGCGUAGGCGAUGGACAACCGGUUGAUAUUCCGGUACCGCCGCAUAGAGCGAAGGGGUGACGCAGGUCGGAGGGUCUGGCCGGGCGUUGGUAGACCCGGUCUAAACCUGUAGGAAGCCCCCGCAGGCAAAUCCGUGGGGGAGUUCUGAAGGGUGAAUGCGAGGGAAAGUAAAGUACCGAAGCAGGCCUGUCCCAUACUGCCGAGAAAAACCUCUAGCGCAUCUUCGGGAUGCAAUCUAUGUGGCGCCCGUACCGCAAACCGACACAGGUAGGCGGGGAGAGAAUCCUAAGGCGCGCGGGAUAACCCUCGUUAAGGAACUCGGCAAAAUGACCCCGUAACUUUGGGAGAAGGGGUGCCUCCGCGAGGAGGCCGCAGAGAAACGGCCCAAGCGACUGUUUACCAAAAACACAGGUCUCUGCAAAGCCGAAAGGCGAAGUAUAGGGGCUGACGCCUGCCCAGUGCCGGAAGGUUAAGGGGACGGGUUAGCGCAAGCGAAGCUCUGAACCGAAGCCCCGGUGAACGGCGGCCGUAACUAUAACGGUCCUAAGGUAGCGAAAUUCCUAGUCGGGUAAAUUCCGACCCGCACGAAUGGCGUAACGACUUGGGCGCUGUCUCGACGAGGGACCCGGUGAAAUUGUAGUACCUGUGAAGAUGCAGGUUACCUGCGACAGGACGGCAAGACCCCGUGGAGCUUUACUGCAGCCUGAUAUAGAAUUUUGUUGCUUCAUGUAGAGGAUAGGUGGGAGGCAGGGAACUACCCUCGUCAGGGGGUAGGGAGCCAACCUUGGAAUACCACCCUUGGAGUAACGGAAUUCUAACCUAGGGCCCGAGACGGGUCCGGGGACGGUGUCAGGUGGGCAGUUUGACUGGGGCGGUCGCCUCCUAAAAGGUAACGGAGGCGCCCAAAGGUUCCCUCAACGCGGUUGGAAAUCGCGUGUGGAGUGCAAAGGCACAAGGGAGCUUGACUGUGAGAGAGACAUCUCGAGCAGGGACGAAAGUCGGGCUUAGUGACCUGGUGGUUCCGAGUGGAAGGGCCAUCAAUUAACGGAUAA
RNAcentral lists this ribosomal RNA (1733 nucleotides) under anaerobic digester metagenome. RNAcentral describes it as "bacterial LSU rRNA". It matches the Rfam family "Bacterial large subunit ribosomal RNA", at positions 724 to 2459 of the family's 2925-position model. The record is from RNAcentral.